UCCUCCGUAGCUCAAUUGGUUAGAGCGUCUGACUGUUACUCAGUAGCGAUCAGGAGGUUGGAAGUUCGAGCCUUCCCGGGGGAG
This is a non-coding RNA of Hypoxylon fuscum, 84 nucleotides long. The record is from the annotation of a GenBank genome assembly. NCBI's taxonomy places the organism in Eukaryota, Fungi, Ascomycota, Sordariomycetes, Xylariales, Hypoxylaceae.